This 427-nucleotide unclassified non-coding RNA is filed under the name Hevea brasiliensis (rubber tree). Lineage: Eukaryota; Viridiplantae; Streptophyta; Magnoliopsida; Malpighiales; Euphorbiaceae. The record is from RNAcentral.
AAAAAAGGGGAAAAAUUAGGGUUGCUGGCACGUUAUCAUACCAGAAAACAAUCUCCAGCCAAAUUAGGCUAUCUCAAUGGGAUCAGCUUAAAGUAAGUAUUAAUUCCUUCAACAUAAUUCAAUGCAAAUGUUAUAUUGUAAAAUGGAGGCCUUUUUAAGAUGAGUAUCAAUUCACCCUGUUGUAACAUAGACUGCCUUUUCAACAAGAAUGUCUAUUCAUAGAUUAAAGAACGGCAAUAAAACAUUCCUUCAAAUGCCAAGAAACUGCAGAGAAGUCCGUUAAAUAUGUAUAAUUAAUUAACAAACAAUAAGCUACAUAUUAGCAUAUUUGACACACAGUCCAACUUAAACUGAACAUCAAUAGAAUCUCCAAAUUUGUACAAAUAAGUUAAAUUAAAAUUAUUAUAGAAAGCCUGUAGAAUUGUAU